RNAcentral lists this ribosomal RNA (486 nucleotides) under Simulium shewellianum. RNAcentral's name for it is "partial 16S ribosomal RNA". It matches the Rfam family "Bacterial large subunit ribosomal RNA", at positions 1807 to 2558 of the family's 2925-position model. Lineage: Eukaryota; Metazoa; Arthropoda; Insecta; Diptera; Simuliidae. The record is from RNAcentral.
UCAAACACAUGUCUUUUUGGUUAUUUAAUAUAAUGUCUAGCCUGCCCACUGAAUUUAAUUUUGAAGGGCCGCAGUAUUUUGACUGUGCAAAGGUAGCAUAAUCAUUAGUCUUUUAAUUGGAGGCUGGUAUGAAUGGUUGGAUGAGGUACAAGCUGUGUCAUAAAAAUUAAUAUUUGAAUUUAACUUUUUAGUCAAAAGGCUAAAAUUAAAUUAAAAGACGAGAAGACCCUAUAGAGCUUUAUAUAAUAAUUAUUUAAUUUAUUAAGAUUUAUUAAAUUUAAUUAUUUGAUUAUAUUUUGUUGGGGUGACAGUAAAAUUAAAAAAACUUUUAUUAUUAAUUUACAUUUAUUUAUGGUUAAAUGAUCCAGUUUUAUUGAUUAUAAAUUUAAGUUACCUUAGGGAUAACAGCGUAAUUUUUUUUGAGAGUUCUUAUCGACAAAAAAGAUUGCGACCUCGAUGUUGGAUUAAGAGUAAUUUUGGGUGUAG